GCCUCCCCCCGGGUCACCGCCAGCCCCGCUCGGCAGGAGUGGGAUGGAGCCAGGCUGUCCGUCCGUCCCUCCGUCCGUCCGUCCGUCCGCCCAGGUGCUCGGGCUGCCCCCGACCCCCCCCGACCCAGCCCAAAUUCCCGAUUUUCCCGGCUCCUGCCCCCGCCCUGGCGCACACGGAUCUCCGCUGUGCCCGGAGCAGCCCCCGGCAGCCUGCCAGGGGUGUAAAGCUCCCUCGGGACCGCCGGCGGCCCGGCACCGGACCCAACCUCAGCUUUUUCCCCGCUCACAUCAGCAAACUGCCCGCAGCCUGGCCGCAGGACCUGGAGGAAAUUUCCACAGCCCCAUCGGGAGGCUGCUCUCCGAGUUUUCUCCUCUCUUUGCUGUCCUCCGAGAGCACGUAACACGUACGAGGAGCUAUCAGCUCCGUGCCUCGGCUGCCUGCUUCUAAGGGCUUCGUUAUUUCAUUGCCUGUGGGAAUGGCCUUUUAAUUUGAAAUGUUUGUCAUAGAUUAUAGACUUUUUAAACAAACUUGCACAUGAAACACUUGACUUAGAUCUUUUUUUUUCCCCUCUGUUUGGUGUGGACCUAGCUAAGGAAUUAAACUUCAACCGCUUGGAAGCAAAGCUGGUGUAUCUACAAAUUAUUCAAUGAAAAGAGGAAAAAAAUUGCAAUGAAUAAUAAUCAGCCAUCUGCAGAGCUGGCUGACUAAUAAAAAUGUGUUUCCAAAUAGUAAACAGGCCAAAAUUAAUAACAAAUGCUAUUUGCAAUGAAUUAUUCUAUUAGAUCUUCUCCCAACUUUAUGACAUUUUUCCUCUCUAAGCAAAGAAACUUAUCUCGAAUGUAUGGAUUUCCAAAGCCAUACCCACCCCAGCUGCACGGCAGCCAGAUCACUUCAUCUGAAGUUCGUGAGCCCAAUUCCAACCGCUGUGUCUGGAGCCCUCACCAUACCGCAGUGUUUCAGCAGAGGAAACAAGAAGGGAGAUGUGUGGGAGCGCCGUGUCUGCCACGAGGCUGGGGCUGUGGCGCAGGACUCAUGGUGCCUGCUGCUUUUCUCCUGCAUUGUCCUGGAAAUAAGGGUGAGAAUCUCAGCUUUCCUUUAAAAAAUCACCAGUUGCCUAGGGAAAAGAGGACCAGAGUCUAUUUAAAAGUUUUAGUGCCUAGAAAGCAAUAAGCCAAAUAUAUCUGUAUUUAAAAGAGCCGCACGGUAUUUAAGGCAAUCUUGCGAUUUGUUUCAGAGCCUGACUCAUCGCUCCUGCGUGCUGGGGCCGAAGGCACCGGGGGCUCCAGCAGCCACUCUCCAACAAGGAGGAUGCCUUACCUGCUGGGAAGGGCAAGCUGAAGAAAUCAAGAAGUUUCCUGCCCUGUACCCCACGUCAUUGCAGACUCUGCUAGCACAACUGCAAACAAGAGGCUACAUAGAGGUUUAUUUGCAGACCAGUUUUGUUCUUAGUUUGGGAUGAGUUUCUCUUGGUACCUAGGCCCUUUGCUGAAUGAUGUUUGGUAAAGGUAGAAAAACUGAGCGGAUGAUGUCUUCAUAUCCGCUUCUGAGAAUUUCCACCCUGAUCUGUUUGGCCCUCCUGCCACGAUAACCCCCUGGGGCAUAACGUGGGGUUUUUUUAGAAGCUUGGAGCAAAAGGUGCUUUUCAUUUUACUCAGCCUCUUACACAACUGACUUCACAUUUUUACAGCGGCCUCUUUCCUUCUCCCUUAAAUUUCUCACCCCUUGACCUUUCCACCCAUUUUAACA
Long non-coding RNA from Anser cygnoides (Swan goose), 1747 nucleotides. Lineage: Eukaryota; Metazoa; Chordata; Aves; Anseriformes; Anatidae. The record is from Ensembl.